RNAcentral lists this unclassified non-coding RNA (1283 nucleotides) under Hevea brasiliensis (rubber tree). The record is from RNAcentral. Lineage: Eukaryota; Viridiplantae; Streptophyta; Magnoliopsida; Malpighiales; Euphorbiaceae.
GAAAAAGGCAAAAAUCCAUUAACAUAUAUCUCAAAUACUCAGAUUCUCAGAAUAAAAUUGUAUGAAGAGGACAAGGACAUCUGACAUAUCCCACUAAAAGCAGGACAAAGAGAAAAAGAUGAUGACAUAAUGCAUCACAUCCAAACUGCCAGUUUAGAAGACAUUCUUCAAUAAGUUUGAAACUACAUAUAUAAUCUCUUUUCCUAUAAUCUCAGGAUAUCUACGCAAAAAAAAAAAAAAAAAAAUUCUGUAGUUGAGAUUUUGUUGUUAAUAUGUGAGGAAUGAGGAAGUACUAGCAUAUGCAAACUUUUUAAGUACAUUUUAAGAAAUACACAGAGAUUUGUCCUUGAUCAAUGAUGAUGAUGAUGAUGGUAUAUUUCCUUUUCUGUAUGUUUCUUCAACCUUCAUCCAUGACCUACCUUUUUGAAUUGCUAGAAAAUAAAAGAAGUAAAACAUGUGUUCUGCCUUCUGUGGUAAACAGAUUGCUUCCACUGCCUUAAUUUUUACAUAUACAUACCAAAUGGAGAGUGUUGGAAUUUGUAACUUGAAUUUAUGAGAUCAUAGCUUUAACUAUCCAAAUUUGUGGCCAAGCAUGCAAAGUACUAAUUAGCUCUUUGAGAUGGAUGCAUCUUGUUCAGAGUACUAUAGAGAACCCUUUGUCAUUUGUAUGUAGAAUUUUGACAGUUACACUUUUGUAUUUGGGUUAAAGGUCAUGAGGAUUACUCUUUUGUUCUCUUACUCUUGUAUUACUUCUCAGUUUAUUAGUGGAUUUUCUGCUACAUAGAACAACAUAAAUUAAAUUCUUAGUUUUCACCAUGUUAUUUUCGCAUUCAUUUAGCCCAGAUAAAUAUUUUGAUUCCAUCAGCUGAUCUUUUCCAUUGCAGAGAGCAUAUGCAACUUCUACACCAGUGGUGACCUUGAAAUGGAAGAUAGGUAUUAUGCAUCUGAAAAAAACCAGUGGCCCUUAAAAUCCCAUCACAAAAUACACAAGAAACACAGAAAACACAGAUCAGAUGCUUCUGCUGCUGCUACUACCGCUGCUACUGAGGAGAUAUCAAAGGAAACAGAAUUGUAGAAGUCUAGGGAUUUGCGUUGUGAGAUGGUUCUACGCUUGUUUUGUAUUUUGUGGAAUGAUUUCAGAGGCAAAAGCAUUUCUUAUAUAUGUGGAUGUUUGGGUUUUGUUAGGGUUUAACUGCUCUCUGCACUGCAGCAGGUACUAUUCCCAAUCUCCCUUCCUUUUUUUUUCUUAGUAAUAAACUAUGUUUCUAUGUUCAUUAUAGCUG